AGGGGAAGGAAGGGUAGGUCUGGAGCUCUGGGGUGUGUCUGAGGAAGGCUGCUGGAACUGCCUGGGGAACAUGGCUGGCAGCGAGGGCAGAAGGUGCCUGCAGGCUGAGCUGUUGAACAGAUUAUCUACAAAACUAUUUACGGUCCCUAUCACGAUGUGCUGUGCACACCUGGAUUCUCUGACCGUAGACUGAUGGAUUGGUUGACUGCUAUGGGGUUGUAACCACCAGGAACCUCUGCGAUCUGCAGACAUGCUUCCGGGACAGCUUAGGAAGGCUGACGGGCGCCCAAUCGCAGCUGCAAUCAACAGAGCACCUAAGGUUUUAUGACAACAGGCGUAAGACUGAGAGUUCAUUGAAUGGAGUUCUGGGUUCCUGGCUACAACCUGGCCCCGUCCUGCCCACUGCAGUCAUUUGCAGUCCUGGCUGCUUCACUUCGAAUCUACCUCCCAGCUAAGGGCCUGGAAAAGCAUUGGAAAAUGGCCCAAGUGCUUGGGCCCCUGCACCCACGUGAGUGACCCGGAAGAAGCUCCUGGCUCCUGUCCCCAGAUUCACCCAGCUCCGGUCAUUGUGGCCAUUUGGGGAGUGAACCAGCGGAUGGAAGACCUCUCUCUCUCUCUGUCUCUCCCUCUCUUUGUCUGUAACUCUGUCUCUCAAGUAAAUAUAUAAAUUAAAAAAAAAAAAAAAGACUGUUGGGAGUUCUGCUGCUAAAAGGGCCAGUUGACCUCUAAGAUUCUUUUCUGUAUCAGUUAAGAAUUUUGCUACACAGCAUGAAAGGAGUUUCCAGCAGCUUUAAGGAGAGAGUAGUCUGUUUUCCUCUCAUGGGAAAGAAAUCAGAGUUCGGAAUUGGGAUGGCCGCCCCACAGCAUCCACGGGGACCUUGGCUUCCUUCUUUCUUCCUGAUUCGCCAGUCUUAGCCCUGGCGACGGCGUCCAUCCUCACAGGUGCUAACUAUUUGUAGGGUACCAGUGUAUAUGGGCUUCAAUGCCCACCGCUCUAGAAAUCCAGAGACCCCACCCCCACCCCAGGCAUUUCUCCAGGCACCUGGGCUGUGACCUUUGGUACAGGCAUUAGUAAUUCCCAUCUCUGGGCACACAUUCUACUGUUUUUAGCUGUCAACUAUCACAUUUAGUGUGUGGCAUUGCACGGCAUCUCUCUAGAUGUCACACACAUUGCCCCUUGGCAGUGUCGUGCUCGUUGAUUUCCUGGUGCCACCCAGAGCGCAGCAGCCACUGGAGCCUGGUGCCUGUGAAAUGGAUCCUCACCUCCUACAGCCCACCUCUCACAAGUGAGAAUUUGGUUACUUUUUGUUCCCUGUGGGAGAAACACGGGUAGGGGGAAUGGGACACAGCAGGGUACCUUCGGGUUUGCAGCUCUAGGAGCUGUCUGAACUGGAGGGAGACUUGCAAGUCCUUAACAUAUGUGGGAGUUCAGCGAUGGCUGACUCUAUCGCAUAGUUUACUUAGUACUAGGUCAUCUAUUGGUGGGAUAGACUGGGACCACUGAGCGGCUCGGUGGGGACCACGAAGAUGAAGGGAACUCUGGGGAAGACCCACCUUUAUCUGCAGUGGUAGAAAAAGAGGAGGCAGGAGAGGAGACAAAGGAACGCAGAGGGCGGGAGGGAAUGGAGGCCAGCGAGACCUUCAGAAGGAAGACGGGUCAACAGCACCCAAGGCUUCUGUGCGGUGCAGGGGCCACCAGCUCAGCCCUGACCUCCUGACCGGCAGAGAUCAAGGGCAUCAGCUGAACCUGGGCCCUGCUCCUUGUGCUCAGAACAAUGUUUUCCCGAAGGCCAGAGGCUUCGAUGGCCCUCACCCAGCCGCAUUCCUGCUUCCCCCACACUCUCACUUUGUAGCAAAAGUAGGUUACAACUAAAGUGUGGGUGUGUGUGAAAAUGCAUAGUACGAAAAAAACUCUGCGUGAAUUUCAAUUUCUGCACCAAAAUAAACUUAUUUUUC
Oryctolagus cuniculus (rabbit) is the source of this 1956-nucleotide long non-coding RNA. RefSeq lists it as uncharacterized. The record is from RefSeq and is a predicted model, not a curated record. NCBI's taxonomy places the organism in Eukaryota, Metazoa, Chordata, Mammalia, Lagomorpha, Leporidae.